GGAAAGAUGAAAAGAACUUUGAAAAGAGAGUUAAACAGUACGUGAAAUUGUUGAAAGGGAAACGAUUGAAGUCAGUCAUACCAACGGGAAAUCAACCUUUUGAGCUCGGUCUUGUGGGUUUUGAAGAGUUUCAAAGCCUUCGGAUUCGCGGGAUUGGGAUCUCUUGGCGUACUUUUUCGUACGGUUAGUCAACAUCGGUUUUGAAUGUCAUAAAAUGACUGGAGGAAUGUAGCUUCGAUCUCGUAUUGAAGUGUUAUAGCCUUUGGUAGAUGUGAUGUUUGAGACCGAGGAUUGCAACGGAUACCUUUCAGGGCUAUUCGUCUGAUCUCUGAUACGUUGCCUUGAUGUUGAAAGCUUGCUUAUGAUGUUAGGGUAUUACGGUCAAAAGGUUAGAACGAAUUACAUUCGUUAAGGAUGUUGACGUAAUGACUUUAAACGACCCGUCUUGAAACACGGACCA
This 460-nucleotide ribosomal RNA is filed under the name Funneliformis mosseae. Its description in RNAcentral is "LSU rRNA". It matches the Rfam family "Eukaryotic large subunit ribosomal RNA", at positions 358 to 668 of the family's 3401-position model. The record is from RNAcentral. Lineage: Eukaryota; Fungi; Glomeromycota; Glomeromycetes; Glomerales; Glomeraceae.